CCGCUCACAGUCCCAGUGAAUGGGAGAGGAGCGCUUAACCCUCCAGGGAAGGGACAGAAAUACCUGGAUGACAACCCGACCUUCCCCAGCGCCUGCCUCCCCAGUGGUCAGAAGCUCUCAGGGCAGCACCUUGGCACAGGGGCCCACUUGACAGUCUCAGUGAAGUGACCUGUCGUCAGAAAAGGAAAACAGAAUUUUCAGUUACUGGAAGAGGGGGAGCUGGGAAGACAAUACCCACCCUUUACAUGGACCCCUCCAGCCCUAUGCCAUCUUCUGCACAACAAACCCCGAGGGCCAACUCUGUGCUGAGGCAGGCACUGGAAGGUUCCUGAUGAUUGAUCCUCAUGUGAAGGGGCAGAGGAAGGACAUGAAAGAUGAAGGCCAGCACUCCUACCCUGCAGCACAAGGAGCAGUAGGAAGGAACAAGACAUUGGAGACGUCCUUUUCCCAUGAACUUCAAAACCUGGGAGAUGACUGGAUCAAUAGACUGUCAUUUUGAAAGCAACUAAAGGACAGGAAUAUGAUGAUAAUCAGUGGGGUGCAUGGGUUUGUCAGAUACAAAUCCUAUAACACUGAAACAUUGCUUUCCAUCACAAGAUAACUGGCUUUGGCUUGGGGCCAACAAAAAGUAGAUUUAGGGGAAUAUUGAGGUUCAGUGAAGAAAUCACUCUCACUUGAGCUUUCUCUGAAUCCUAACUUGGGGAAGCGACAGCAAAUGCACUAGUUCUUCUAAACUGGGGGGAUGGUGGGGGAAAAAAAGGAAUGAGAAACUGCAGUUUGCUCAUCUUGAGACCGUGGCUGAGUUCACUUCCUUUCACCGAAGGUGAAAUUCUUCCACUGAGGCAGGGUUGUGCCGGGGCUGUAAAGCUGUAGAGGAAGAAUGUUUAUUGAUUGAGUUCAUGCAUUUUACAAGGAAAGAGAUGCCCUGGAUUGCUCUGAUUCUGUUUUAUGGUGUAACUGUUUCUUAGAGCAAAGUAUUUUAUUUUUAGGCAUCAGCUGCACAUAGUCUGGUGGUCCUCAGUUGCCUCAGGCAAGUAUUUUGUUUUCUGAACUAGAAACCAAGAAAACUUAAGGCAGAUGUGCAACCUUCCUCCUCUGCAAGCUCCCUCCCCCCAGCCCAAGCCCAGCCCCAAUCCAGGGUGAGACCGUGAGGAACACUCUGGGUCUGGGGUGAAAGCCCUCUCACCCAGCCUCUUGGUCCCAGCUGUAGCAUGGCCUCUGGGGCGCUGCGGGUGUGUGCGGGGUUGACUGUUUAAUCUUGUGCUGUCUGUCUGAUAUAUGAGCAGGAGGAUCUGUCAUAUGGGGUUUAUCUUGCCUCACCAAUAAAUGCAAU
Molecule: long non-coding RNA, 1333 nt
Organism: Zalophus californianus (California sea lion)
Lineage: Eukaryota; Metazoa; Chordata; Mammalia; Carnivora; Otariidae
Exons: 3
Source: RefSeq, a predicted model, not a curated record